This 496-nucleotide ribosomal RNA is filed under the name uncultured Desulfobulbus sp. RNAcentral describes it as "bacterial SSU rRNA". It matches the Rfam family "Bacterial small subunit ribosomal RNA", at positions 891 to 1382 of the family's 1533-position model. Lineage: Bacteria; Pseudomonadati; Thermodesulfobacteriota; Desulfobulbia; Desulfobulbales; Desulfobulbaceae. The record is from RNAcentral.
GCUCAGAAACUCAAAGGAAUUGACGGGGCCCGCACAAGCGGUGGAGUAUGUGGUUUAAUUCGAUGCAACGCGAAGAACCUUACCUGGUCUUGACAUCCCGGAGACCCUUAGGAAACUAGGGGGUGCUUCCAUCUGGAAGAAUCUGGAGACAGGUGCUGCAUGGCUGUCGUCAGCUCGUGUCGUGAGAUGUUGGGUUAAGUCCCGCAACGAGCGCAACCCUUGCCUUUAGUUGCCAGCAGUUCGGCUGGGCACUCUAAAGGGACUGCCGGUGUUAAACCGGAGGAAGGUGGGGAUGACGUCAAGUCCUCAUGGCCUUUAUGACCAGGGCUACACACAUACUACAAUGGCCGAUACAAAGGGCAGCGACACUGCGAGGUGAAGCCAAUCCCGUAAAAUCGGUCUCAGUCCGGAUUGGAGUCUGCAACUCGACUCCAUGAAGUUGGAAUCGCUAGUAAUCGUGGAUCAGCAUGCCACGGUGAAUACGUUCCCGGGCCUU